GCUGCGGUAAUUUGACUGUACUAAGGUAGCACAAUCAUUUGCCCUUUAAUUGUGGGCUGGUAUGAAUGGGUAAACGAGGGUAAAGCUGUCUCUUGUAUAUGACUAAAAGUUAAACUUUAAGUGAAUAUGCUUAAAUAGGGGUAAAAGACAAGAAGACCCCAAGAGCUUUAAUAAAAUCUCAGAUAAGGCUAUAUUUGAGUGUUAUUUUGGUUGGGGCGACAGAGGACUAAACUAUAGCGUCUUUUUUAGUGAAGAAUUUGAUUCUUUGUUGAUCCGUUGUGCGAUUAGAAGAAGUAGCUACCUUGGGGAUAACAGGCUAAUUUAUUCGGAGAGUCCCUAUUGAUGAAUUAAGUUUGGCACCUCU
RNAcentral lists this ribosomal RNA (364 nucleotides) under Capitella nonatoi. RNAcentral describes it as "partial 16S ribosomal RNA". It matches the Rfam family "Bacterial large subunit ribosomal RNA", at positions 1930 to 2528 of the family's 2925-position model. Lineage: Eukaryota; Metazoa; Annelida; Polychaeta; Capitellidae. The record is from RNAcentral.